AACACAUUGUACCCAUCCACCUGCCCUGUGGGGGGCUUUGCCCGGCUUGGGCCUUGGCUUUGCCUUUUGGUGUCCGCCCGCCCCCGGGGCCCCCAGAAAGGGGCUGAUCCCUCCUCCUGGAGCGCCCUGCACGCGCUCCCAAGACCAUUCCCCGGUCCCUUCAUCCCAUUCUCCGGAGAAACGAGCCCAGGGCUGGCCUCUGCCCUGCUGCUCGUCCUCCCUCGGCAUCCGGAAGGCGAAGUCUUAGCCUCUGAACCCCGGCCUCCCGGACUAGACGGUUGUUCCAGAGAGGGUGUGAAGGAGUCCCUCCUUCCCGGCAAGAUGGGGCCAGAGAACCUGCUGCCCCCUCGCCGUCAGCCCCCAGAACCCCGCUGUCUUCCAUCCUUGGAAACCCAACGUAAACGCCAUGUAAUCCUAUCGACGCCAUCAUUAAGUCAGGCCCAGCCUUCUAGGCCGCCGAAUCUCUUUGGUUCCCGACUUUAUUGUUACCCAUGUGUUCCGUCCCUCUCCUAAGGCAAGCAAGCCCCUUAAAUGCUUCUGAGCCUGAGCACCCCUGGAAAAUAGAAUUAAAUACUGUGCUCGGGAUUGUUGCAAGGAAAAUGCUAUAAUCACCACAGCUGGUGUUUACGGAGCACUUUAUAUAUGUUAGCUCCUUUGCUCCUUAUUACAGACCUGUGAGUUAGUUGCUAUUAAAUAAUUCCCAUUUUACAGAAUCUGAAGAAGAAUUCAAGCUCCAAGUACCACUCUCUAUCCAUAGUCAGCUAAAGUGAAUCCUAAUGCCUUGGCUGAAAUGAGAUUUAUAUUACUUUUAUAUCUGAAAAUGGAUGUUCACCCAGCAAACCAUUGACAAUUGCUCAAGCUCUUAGUUCUGGCUCUGUUGGUAAAUUUGGGGCUCAGCUUCCCCAUUUGUAAAAUAAGCAAGCACCAGGCACUCCAGCCUAAAGAUUUCACACUUCUUUAAAACAAAGAAACAGGAGAUUGCCCUGAGUUUUCUUCAAGUCUACCUGGCACAGCUUCCCAUUCUUACAAAGGAGAAUGGAUUAAGAAAUAGUGAGAAAAUGUCAGGGAUGUUUGAACAUUCUGUGGUUUCUGGGUUCCUGUUCUCAAAUUGUGAGAGCCAUGUUUUACAUUUGAAAACACUUUGUCUCCCAAGCAUCCGUGUGAUCUCAUAAAAAAUGGGCAGGUGCUCUCAGUUCUAAAGACCAAGAUUGCUCUAAAAUAAAGUCUGUCUUGUGCCUCUCCUUCAGACCACUUCAUUUCUGAGGCACCUUCCUGUUCUGACAAUCUGAAGCCUGUGAAGUUGCUCCCUAACAAAUGGGACCCUGAUUGCGCCUCAUCCCAAAGACUUUCAUUCCCAGAGAAGAUGCUGAUGUGGAGAAAGAGUCACCCCAAAAUGUGGGGCACCAUAGGGGAUAAAGAGCUAAUAAGAACUCAUAAUAAUACAUUUAUAGAGUCGGUCAGGUGACAAAGCAUUUUAUACUGCCUUGUUUGUUCCUGGUAACAAACUAAUAUUGUCAGGGCAGACGUUAUCACUGUUUUGUGGCGAGAAGCAUUUUAUACACUCCUCAUUUAUAAAGUUCAGAGAGCAGAAACAGACGGCUUAAAGCCACACAGAAGGUGUCAAGGCCAGGUUCUCAACCCAAGGCUUCUCUGCUCUAACCCCCAUUUCUUCUUCACUGCAGCAGGUGAGGUCCUGGUCUUCCAGUAGCUAUGGAAGUGGAGAGAUGUGGAAGAGAAAGGGACAAUUAGCAGUCUGUAAUCUCAGACCCAGUGAGUGAUACUGACAGCACUAAGGAUCCAGAGGAAGGACAGACCAUGGGCCAGGGUCAAAGGAUCUUUGGAUUUAGCGAUCACUUCAGGCCACCCUUCAUUCAUUCCUCCAUUUAUUUGUGGAGGUAAUUGGGGCUAAAUUACUUGCCCAGGGACAUACAGCCAGGAAGUAUUGUGUCUGAGGUCAGAUUUUAACUCAGGUCCUCCUGACUCCAGUGCGGAUGCUCUAUCCACUGCACCACCUGGCUAUCCCCCUUCCCCCUUCCCUUAAAAUAAGAAAAAACUGACACGGGGUUGGCUCUAUAUUCCACAGUCCAUUUCUAGCUGAGGAUUCCUCCCAUUCCCUGCCUCCCUUGUUCCUCAGCAGUUGCCCAGGACAGGAUGGGAAUCCUGCUCUCCUGGCAUUGGGCCAAGUACCCAGGAGGAGGGAUGGGGAGUCUGGGCUUCAGAAACACUGGGGGCAGGCAGGGGUUCCCCAGCAUCUGCCUUGGCAUCCGAGCCCCACGUCUAGUGGUCCCCGAAAGCUCCCUGCACACACUUCAGAUCUGAACUGCCAUCGUGCCUUCCUAACCCCAGCCCGUCUGCCCAGGGGUACUUAUCCCUGCACCGUGCCUUGGUUCUGGCUGACCCCUCUCUUCCCCACGCCCGACCCCUCCUGGGGCCUUUCCUUUGCCAAUUCUCUUCCUGGUCCCAAAGGCACUUCCUUUGUUUGCUAAAUUGUGCAGCAUCGCCCCCAACCCUUCCACAUUAAGCAGAUAUUCCUCCUCCUCUGGGCAGCCUUCCCACACUGCGGAAGCUCUUUCUGAGCUCCCAGAUUCCUUGUCAUCUCUGCUCUGCCCUGGAAUACCGGGAGGCAGCCUGGCAUAAACCCUCAUUCCCCACCUUCCAAAGGAUAAUGCAGG
This 2672-nucleotide long non-coding RNA is filed under the name Sarcophilus harrisii (Tasmanian devil). RNAcentral's name for it is "lncRNA (ENSSHAG00000027907.1)". The record is from RNAcentral. Lineage: Eukaryota; Metazoa; Chordata; Mammalia; Dasyuromorphia; Dasyuridae.